AGAAACUUCCAAGAAAAUCGUGGAGGAACCAUGUCCACAGAUUAUUGUCACCAAGGUGUCACAUAAAUAUCAGCAGAAAUAUCAAAUACAGAAAAUUGUAAUUUACAACUGUUAUAAACUAAAGACGUAUCAGAAAUUAGAAAUGGUUGCAAUGCAAAAAUUGAAUUAAUACCAUCAUUGUCUCACAUUUCAUCAUGGACAAUGAGUGAAAUGUAAUAAUUCUCUCAAAAAAUGUACGUCACCAAGUGCUGAGAAAAAGGAAGUCAAAAGAGCGAAACUUUGCGAUACCACGGGUAGAAUUUUCUUACAGCAAUAGAGUAUGCAGAAAAUUAUUUGGAUGGAUAAACCAUAUGUAUAUCAGUCAAGCCGACAAUGUGGCUUUACAUGAUGACAGCGUUUAUGUUCACAUUCAGUGGUCGAACAAGAUAUUUUUAGGCAUAUAACGUGUCGGAUCGAUCACGAAUAUUUGAAAGAAACCUGCCUCAAGUUGCACGAUAAUAAGAUAAUAGUCGGAUUUUUAUCGAUGGAACGACGUUGCUGGACGUGUGAUGUUUUAUUUCUUAUCAUCUUGGCGCGGACGUAAAUUACUGCUUGUCCUUGGCGUGAUAGACAAAUUUAUCUAUUCCUUUAUGGUCCUGAUCAUUGGAUAAUGGAGACUUGGAAAUUUGCUUUGUAUACACAUUGGAUGAAUUUUCCGUGUAACAUAGAAUCCUGAAGAUGAUGAUUCUAGAUGUCAUUUAUCUCAGCACGAAGCCAUCUAAUGAGAGUCGUGCUUGGAUUUUAUAUCUUCAGCCACUCGUCCUAUUUGAUUUUCUUUGUAAACGCCAUGUUGCUUGAGCUAGCCAUUUUGUACUCGUAUGAUUUAAGUAGCAAACAUCACCAUGACAGCAACAGAUGUUCUCCGGCAUCAAUUCUUCUUCUUCUUAUUUUUUUGUUGACAAGGAACAGAUGAAUAGUUAAGAACUGAUCAUACUGCCAGAGUACCUUCAAAUAAUAUUAUAUAAGAAGGCUUGAUAUAUAAUUUUAGAGGAAACACUGCAAGCUUCUUCUUGUAUAUCGAAUAAAAAGAUUAUCAUCAGUC
This is a non-coding RNA of Nylanderia fulva, 1081 nucleotides long. The record is from RefSeq and is a predicted model, not a curated record. Lineage: Eukaryota; Metazoa; Arthropoda; Insecta; Hymenoptera; Formicidae.